GUGGGGAAUAUUGGACAAUGGGCGCAAGCCUGAUCCAGCCAUGCCGCGUGAGUGAUGAAGGCCUUAGGGUUGUAAAGCUCUUUCAGUGGGGACGAUAAUGACGGUACCCACAGAAGAAGCCCCGGCUAACUUCGUGCCAGCAGCCGCGGUAAUACGAAGGGGGCUAGCGUUGUUCGGAUUUACUGGGCGUAAAGCGCACGUAGGCGGCUCGUUAAGUCGGGGGUGAAAUCCUGGAGCUCAACUCCAGAACUGCCUUCGAUACUGGCGAUCUUGAGUCCGGAAGAGGUGAGUGGAACUCCUAGUGUAGAGGUGGAAUUCGUAGAUAUUAGGAAGAACACCAGUGGCGAAGGCGGCUCACUGGUCCGGUACUGACGCUGAGGUGCGAAAGCGUGGGGAGCAAACAGGAUUAGAAACCCUAGUAGUCC
RNAcentral lists this ribosomal RNA (425 nucleotides) under uncultured bacterium. RNAcentral describes it as "bacterial SSU rRNA". It matches the Rfam family "Bacterial small subunit ribosomal RNA", at positions 354 to 796 of the family's 1533-position model. The record is from RNAcentral.